RNAcentral lists this ribosomal RNA (511 nucleotides) under Fusarium oxysporum f. sp. ranunculi. Its description in RNAcentral is "eukaryotic LSU rRNA". The stretch from base 163 to 316 matches the Rfam family "5.8S ribosomal RNA". Lineage: Eukaryota; Fungi; Ascomycota; Sordariomycetes; Hypocreales; Nectriaceae. The record is from RNAcentral.
CGGAGGGAUCAUUACCGAGUUUACAACUCCCAAACCCCUGUGAACAUACCACUUGUUGCCUCGGCGGAUCAGCCCGCUCCCGGUAAAACGGGACGGCCCGCCAGAGGACCCCUAAACUCUGUUUCUAUAUGUAACUUCUGAGUAAAACCAUAAAUAAAUCAAAACUUUCAACAACGGAUCUCUUGGUUCUGGCAUCGAUGAAGAACGCAGCAAAAUGCGAUAAGUAAUGUGAAUUGCAGAAUUCAGUGAAUCAUCGAAUCUUUGAACGCACAUUGCGCCCGCCAGUAUUCUGGCGGGCAUGCCUGUUCGAGCGUCAUUUCAACCCUCAAGCACAGCUUGGUGUUGGGACUCGCGUUAAUUCGCGUUCCUCAAAUUGAUUGGCGGUCACGUCGAGCUUCCAUAGCGUAGUAGUAAAACCCUCGUUACUGGUAAUCGUCGCGGCCACGCCGUUAAACCCCAACUUCUGAAUGUUGACCUCGGAUCAGGUAGGAAUACCCGCUGAACUUAAGCA